This is an RNA transcript of Tarenaya hassleriana, 1078 nucleotides long. It is a transcript of the gene named trafficking protein particle complex subunit 3, with no coding region annotated. The transcript has 6 exons. Lineage: Eukaryota; Viridiplantae; Streptophyta; Magnoliopsida; Brassicales; Cleomaceae. The record is from RefSeq and is a predicted model, not a curated record.
GUGCUUGGCUUAUAAUAAAGGUUCUUCUCUGUCAAUUCACGAAUUAAGGGAUGACGUCGAGGAUUUGUGGACUGUUUUUUUAAGACAUAAAAUUAUGAGGUUAAUAUGAAAGCUUCAUUAAGUAUAAGGGUGUAAUUGAAAUUUUGAUAUCUUUAAUCCGCUCCGACGAGAAACGGGACUGUAGAGCAGAUUCCUGGGAAUAUCAAAACGAGCGGAGAAAAUAAUCUUCCUGUUCGCGGAGAUGGCUCCGGUUGGUCCUCGAUCUGGAGAUGCGAUCUUCUCCAGCAUCGAACGCAUUAAUGCGGAGUUAUUCACCCUGACUUAUGGGGCAAUUGUGCGUCAAUUGCUUACGGACCUGGAGGAGGUCGAAGAAGUGAACAAACAGCUUGAUCAAAUGUAUAGUUCUUUCUGCAGGGGAUACAAUGUUGGAAUCAGACUGAUCGACGAGUUUCUUGCCAAAUCGGGUGUAUCCAGAUGUGUUGACUUCAAGGAGACCGCAGAAGCUGUCGCAAAGGUGGGUUUCAAAAUGUUCUUGGGGGUCACUGCUUCAGUGACUAACUGGGACGCAGAUGGAGCUUGCUGCAGUAUAAUCCUUGAGGACAAUCCACUCGUAGACUUUGUGGAACUCUCUGAUACAUGCCAAGGCCUUUACUACUGCAACAUCUUAAGCGGUGUCAUUAGAGGAGCGCUCGAGAUGGUCUCGAUGAAGACAGAAGUAACAUGGAUCCGUGAUACGCUACGAGGGGAUGACGCUUACGAGUUGCAAGUGAAGCUUCUGAAGCAAAUAGCCGAGGAGUAUCCCUACAAGGACGAUGAGUAAAGUCUUGUCUUUAUCUCUUCUGUCGACUUCCACAAUGCAACUUGUUUCUACUUGUAAUUUUUAUUCCCCCUUAAGAACUCCCGAGGUUUUGUCCAAAGUGACAAGUCAUGGGAUGUCGGUUCAUGAACUUUGUGCAUGAAGACAUUUGGUUGGAUUGUAUAUCUGGUUGAAUUAACGUUUAAUGGUUCAAGUAACAGUGUACCACCUUCGGUAUGCAUGUACUUGAAUCAUAUACGUAAUAAUACAUCGCAUUAGCCA